UGAAAACUGUAGACCAGCAAGUGAAGAGCAGAGACCAGCAGAUGUAGCCUAAGAAGGAACUCAACAGAGGUCAAGAAACACCACUUGAAGACCAAGGGCCGACAAAUGAAAACCGGAUUUUCCAAGUCACCUGAAAGCAAGUACGUCUGCCUGCUCGCUCUUGUUCCAGCGUGUGCUCCUUCAGAAUGGACUCUAGGUUUAUCCCCUCCCCAUAACCUUAUGACUCACAGAAUGCCUACACUCUCAAGUCCCACCUUCAUACUCCUGUCCCACAGAAUCACAUCUGUUCUGCAUUUAUCUACGGCGCAAUAGCACCCAUGGAUGCUGCUGGAUAGCUGAAUGGGCCGAAGUGCUAGCACCUACCAAGCAAAAGUUCUAUCAAGAAGGCGAUUAAUGACCUCUUCUCUGGCUGCCUUCUCAGAAAGUUGUUUCACUCCCAUGUGCUGACUGGGAAGAGAGAUGAUCCAAGACUCCCUCACAUUAAGAGCUCCCUCUGAGCCCUGAGCCCUGGAAGGUACCAAGUCAAACUCCCAGCUGCGAAUUCUCUUCCUGAUCCACAAGACCCAGCUGGGGUCCAAGCAGACCCAAGGCUUCUUCAAUGACCAUCCUCCCUUCCGUCACAAGAUCUCUGUGCAUUGACUUCACUGCUACCCUGAGCCACUGGAGGACCUCGUCCGAGCCUGGAUCUUGUAACAGCAUGGAGCCUAGCAUCUAGGAGAUACAGAAAUAAAGACUAAGGCAUCAGAGCACAAAGGCACUUAGAGGGAUUAAGCCUCUUGGAUUCAAUUGGAGCAGCUGGAAAUAGCUUGGUGUAGCCUGAAGCCUCUGCCUCCCAGCAAUCAGCCUCAAUCAACACCCACCUGGCCCUGCUGCCACUUAAUUCCACCUGGCAUCCUGGCUAGGAAUCUUAGAGCAGCCAGGUGUCGGUGCCAUCUGAAGAAUGCAGGAGAUGGGUCUACUCAGGCAACACCAGCAGCAAGUCACCUCCUGGCUCCCCAGUUCCAGUAGUAACAACGGUACCCCCUGAAGCUGCAGUCCAAGACAGAGCUUGAAGGCACCAGAAGACCACACAUGUCCAGGGAGUAGGCAUAUGGGUACUCUUCAGGCCCCGCCACUCCCCUCAGACUCUCUGACAACUAAUUCAUUGUCCUUUAGGGCUUCUUGUAACUGAAUGAGGAGGCCUCGUCAAUGACCAAAAAUAGAUAGAUUGAUAGAUAGAUAGAUAGAUAGAUAGAUAGAUAGAUAGACAUAGAAAUACAUUUAAUCACUGUGUCAGCAAGGGAGGCCUAGACAGGCCCUGAACAAAGGUGACACUAUAGGGGUAACUAGCAUGGACAGUGGUGAAGGGGUAAAUGGCAUGCCCAGUAGCAGAUGAGUAGCCGGCCUGUCUAUACCCACAGCAGGCCUCACUGCCCAACACAACCUGCUUAAAAGUCUAAGAAGCAUGCCCAUGAGCUCUCUAGUGCUCCUCACUCCUGGAUCCCUCCAUCUCUCCAGCCACACACUUCCAGUGUCCCCCAAUCUAAACUAAGCCUUCAACCUGAGCAAUGCUGUCCCACCCUUUAGAAGAGUCUGGGGCCAUUGUGAUCAGUCCCUGUCCUUCCAAAUCACCGUGGUAGCAGAAUGCGGGGUGCACAGUUAGGACCCAGGAGCCAGGUUGUCCAAGUCAGUGUCCACAACUGCUACAUGGCUAGCUAUGCGACCUUGGGGGAGAUAGUAAGCUCUCAGUGUCUAAUUUCCUCACCAGCGAAAUGAGCUUGCAAUGGCCCCGGGGAUGCACAGGGCUCCCUGAGCAAACACUACAAGGCACUUAGAACUGGGCCUGCCUCAGAGAGCAUUGCCCUGUUGCUUCAGCUACCCUUAGGACCCAGAGUGGCCUCGGAAGCAUGACCAGAGCAGACCCUGUCACUCCCAGCCUGGAAGUUUAAUUCCUAAGCAGGUUUGUCACUGCCUAGAGCUACAGCACAGGAUUUUCUAAAUGGAUACCAAACUCCUGACCUGCAGCUGCUGGGCCACCGGAUUCUCAUGUGUUCCCUUCACCACAGGGACUCCCGAGAGGCUGUGAGCUACCCUCUACCCAUGCACUGUUCUUUUUAAGCACAUGCCCCUCUCCCAAACCCUCCAUUAGCUGUGGGGUGGAGCAGUACAAGGGGACAUGGGUCCUGGGCAUGACCAGGCAAACAGAACACAGACCCUGGCACCUGCUACAGUCUUACAGCCUUCUCCACAGCUCCUCUCGGGGAGAUAUAGUGUUCAGGAUUUAUUAAAGCCGCUGGAGAUCAAAAUAGCAAAGCAACCACACUAGCUAGCUACAGAAGCUAGGAGGUGGGGGCACACACCUGUAAUCCCAGGACUCAAAUGCCCACUAAGUCCCAGGCAUGUCACCUCCAAAGCUUUGCCUGAUGCCCUCAACCAGGGUCGUGGCAUCUUGCCAGGCUUCUGUUCCAUGGGAAAGUGGCAACAAUAACCUACCCAACGUUUCUCCAAAGAAUCCGCCACCAUGGGAGGCAGCAAGGGGUGCGAAGCUAUUUUUAGCUCUCUACAGGUUAAUUAGAUACUCUAGCACUCCCUACUGUAUUUGUAGUCCCAAUAUCUUCAAUAACUCCCCCACAGAAACCUUCAUUGGCCAGUGUA
This is a long non-coding RNA of Mesocricetus auratus (golden hamster), 2634 nucleotides long. RefSeq lists it as uncharacterized. Lineage: Eukaryota; Metazoa; Chordata; Mammalia; Rodentia; Cricetidae. The record is from RefSeq and is a predicted model, not a curated record. The transcript is spliced from 3 exons.